This 484-nucleotide ribosomal RNA is filed under the name uncultured bacterium. Its description in RNAcentral is "partial 16S ribosomal RNA". It matches the Rfam family "Bacterial small subunit ribosomal RNA", at positions 30 to 507 of the family's 1533-position model. The record is from RNAcentral.
AUUGAACGCUAGCGGGAUGCUUUACACAUGCAAGUCGAACGGCAGCGCGGACUUCGGUCUGGCGGCGAGUGGCGAACGGGUGAGUAAUGUAUCGGAACGUGCCCAGUAGCGGGGGAUAACUACGCGAAAGCGUAGCUAAUACCGCAUACGCCCUACGGGGGAAAGCAGGGGAUCGUAAGACCUUGCACUAUUGGAGCGGCCGAUAUCGGAUUAGCUAGUUGGUGAGGUAACGGCUCACCAAGGCGACGAUCCGUAGCUGGUUUGAGAGGACGACCAGCCACACUGGGACUGAGACACGGCCCAGACUCCUACGGGAGGCAGCAGUGGGGAAUUUUGGACAAUGGGGGCAACCCUGAUCCAGCCAUCCCGCGUGUGCGAUGAAGGCCUUCGGGUUGUAAAGCACUUUUGGCAGGAAAGAAACGUAGCGGGCUAAUACCCCGUGGAACUGACGGUACCUGCAGAAUAAGCACCGGCUAACUACGUG